UUGAUAGUAAUGAGGAUACAUGGUGGAAGGCCGAUGUUAGAGAAACAAAGGAAGAACUUGCAGCCAGAGGGCGGAAGUUCAUGAACUGGUUGGGGACAAGAAAAGAGGAGAUAGCAAUUGUGACGGAUAGAGCAUUGUUGUUUCAUACUCUUAGUGCCUUUGUAAACCACAGCCAUCCCUUGGAGAAGAAAGAAUUAUCGAAGCCGCAAGUUUGCCGAUGCCUUCCAUGUAGUUAUUUGCUAUUCACAUCCUUUUGAGCCAACAGAGUUGAUUAUUUAUGCGCGAUUCUUUUUAGAUGAAAACAUCUUGUUUCUUCAUGGAUUACAUAAAUACAAUUUAGUCCUCACCAGUUUUGUGCAUUAGUUCAAAAAUUUCUUAUUGUUCCAGCUGUUUUGGGAUCUUGCAUGCUGUUUCAUGUGGUGCCUAAAUUCUUAAACUUUUGGAUUACGUUUUUGUAACCGCCGCUGUGAUAUGUUCAGUGGUACCCUCCUUUUUGUAUAGUAGGAAAUAACUGACCGGUUUCAAUAAUAUUUGUGCAGCUUUGCCAAUUGCGAGCUUCGCUCCGUGGUCAUGUUGAUGUGUACGAAUACAUUCAAAAACAACUUUUAAGAGCUCCCUUGCACCUCAAUCAGGGUUUUUAUGAUUUAUUCCUAACUUGUAGUGUGACAGGAUAGGAUGCUUUAAUCACAAAAAAUCAGGCAAGAUGCCUUCGUGAAGGACCUCUCCUCUAGUGAUGUUGCCCAUAAAAACGCUGAGAGGAAAAAAAAGAAACAAGGUUCUGUAGAUAUUUCAUCCUGACUCGGGCAAUCUAGCAUAAUUAUUUCAAAUUUCACAAAUUAUGCUUCUUGUCUGCAACAGGAAAUAUUUUAUAUGGGAUACUUGUCCAACAAAGUAUUCUACUAAGGAUACAAGAAUCUCAGUCAUUACAACAUACAAUGAUAUGGUCAUAUGGUAUUGAUGUAUAUUACUCAGUAUAUUACUUAACGAGCAGCAGAUGUGAUAAAUAUGGAAAAUAUAAUUCAAUAGAUAACAAAAAAUUAUUAUCUUUAAGAGCAAUGCUGAACAUUCUGUUUCAAUAGCACAUAAUCUUAUAUUUGAAGUUCUUAAGAAAGAAGCUCCUUCUACAUAUUGACGACGAGCAAGUUACCUUCGCCCGUGAUUUUCUAAAUAAUUUUUUAUUUUGUCUUUAAUUAUUACUAUGCAGAUUUAUUUCCUAAGAACUUCUCAAAUCAUAAAUCCUUUGGAGAAAUGAGAUGCACCGAGGAUGAAAGCACACACAGCAUUUGCUAAAUGGAUAGCGAUUUCCAAAUGAUAAAA
Long non-coding RNA from Glycine soja, 1317 nucleotides. RefSeq lists it as uncharacterized. The record is from RefSeq and is a predicted model, not a curated record. Lineage: Eukaryota; Viridiplantae; Streptophyta; Magnoliopsida; Fabales; Fabaceae. The transcript has 2 exons.